Molecule: long non-coding RNA, 2840 nt
Filed under: Pelobates cultripes (western spadefoot toad)
Lineage: Eukaryota; Metazoa; Chordata; Amphibia; Anura; Pelobatidae
Source: RNAcentral
GCACAUACAAUUACAAUGUUUUUCACUUUUGUUUUCAAACAUUUCUAUUAAGAAUGUUGCACAUAAGUGUUACAGAGAAAUAAUCAAUGAUAUAUCUUUCAACAAUGUUAAGUGAUCUAUAAAACAUAAAAUAUACAACAUGUCUCUCUACCCAAAUAAUCCGGGAAGGACUGUAUCAGUAAUAGUAGAACGAAAAUAGGAUAUCAGCCAACCAAGCAUAACACUUGUCUUUGGUUUGCCACUUCUUCUGAGAAGUAUCCAGCAGAAAUCCUAAUUACUCACUUAGAUGUUAAAGUAAAGGUAUCUUCUGCCUGGGUGCUUCAGCAAGGAAAGAUGGUACUUACUCAAAAUUUGAUCUUGGACCCUAGUAAACACACGGAUCAUAUGCAUGUCAUCAGAUUUAUACCUGCAACAUUCAUCCCAAGUUUCCAAGGUGACCCGGAAGUGAAAUAGGGUGAAGGGAAGGUGUACUCCCUAUAAGUGGCCUCACCUUAUUUUUGAGACAAACACCAAUUUAGAUUGAACAUUUGCUUUUAUUUUCUGUUCUGUGCCUGGCACAGACAAAUUCUUACAUCUAUGAAUUUGCUGCAAUUUAUUGAUUUUAUAGACAUAUUACACUUUCUACAUGUGACGAUACAGCCUUAAUAUCGUACGUGGAUAUUCUUUUUACUUUACUUGCACCACUAAACUGCUCCACUAAAUGCUAGGACUCCUCUUUGGUAGCGUAUGCAGGAUAUACUGAGCUGAUUGUAGCGGAUGGCCCUGUGCUGUCCUGAACAAUUCACGUAUUUCUAUGCAUUCGUAUGAAAAUGGCAAAGUCUAUGUAUUUAAUGUAUUGGAUUCGUCUGAAUGUUAGGUAGUUUCAUUCCCUUAGUUUAUUCGAAUGAAACUACCGAACAGUCAGACCUCCCAUGUGUGAAGUGUAUUCUCAAUUAUCCGUUGCAACAUUGUUGCGAACAGGUAAUUGGCAAGUGAAGUAGCCGUCCUUUGUUCUCGGGGGUGGCCGCCAUUCGAAAAACGAACACGUGGCGGCGGCCAUUUUAAAACUCCCGAACAGCGGUGUUUUGCCGUCCCCUCGUUCGGUAGAUAGAAAGAACCGAACGAGGGGAUUCAGGCGAACCCUCCCUAGCCUCUAUAGCUAGAGGCUUUCGUGCAGUUAGUUCCCUUCCUCAAGGGCCGACCGCAGGGCCCAUUCGCAUGGAACCGCAUUCGGCUGUCUCAGUCAGUGCGUCGGUCAUUUUAUUCCCUCCAUAGAUUUCCCGAACCCCUGGUCUGAUCUGGGUGAUUUUUGGAUAUGUUGUUCACCCUGAUCAGGGCUAUCAGGGGGUUUAGGAUUUAAAGGGAUACCCCUACGUUUAGGGGUACAUCCAGAAACGGGGGGAAUUACUGUACUGGAGAAGGGGAUUAUGAUGCAGGCUGAGGGGAGGAGAUGUGUGGGAGGUUACCAGGACAGGAUUGGCUAUACUAAUGAUUGUAAAUCCCUCCCUUGCAUGGGAGCAUGCUUUAAAAGGAUAGUGCGGGUUAAAGCUUUCAGUUCUGCUCCUGAAACUGUGUGUCGUCCAGUUAUUGGGAUUGCUGUGGGGAUAUUGCUGUUAUUUUACCUGCUGGAAACCUUGCCUGUGGAUUUACUAUUUACUUGUUCCUGAGCCUCACUUGGAUUAUAAGCAGAGAUAACCUGGGGAAUAUUGCAUCUCCGCUACACUGAUAUCUGGUUACUAUAUGAUAUUCCAUCCAUCCAGUCUUCUGGAAAUACUCCUAUUAGUAAUUACUCUAUAGAGGACGGUAGCGGAGAACUAGUCUAGCAGGGACCUUUCUUCGCUGGUUUUCACCAAAAUGACUCAGGAACAAAGAAGAUGCUUCACAUGAACAGGUAAAUACAGCAAGGCAAGACAAGAUUCUCUCAACACCUCCCCAGUAACUGGACGACACUCAUUCUGCUACAGGGACAAUGAAUAUCUUGUGACAGCUCAAGGGACAAACUAGCUUAUUUCUUGGCAACUCAACAGAACUCAGUCUCUGACUCAGUUUAUAGCGUCCAGAUCCAGCUUACAAAGAUCACAGCAUACAGUAAAAUAAACAUUAAACCAAACUUUCACCAGUGGGAACACAGAACAGGUCACAGGGAGAGAACCCCCCAUGCCAAUACACCCUGAUAACAACACAGCCCUUUGCUGCAGUAGAUAGACUUGCUGGGUCCCACAGCAGGUGGUCACUUAUAGUGCAGUAUUUUACUUGAUUAGCCCCAAAAAAAUAAUUUCACACCUAACUAUAAACUACCCCAUUUUGGUACUUUCAUUUUUGUUCCUGUUCGGUAGAUAAAACUACCGAACCCCGACCACCCCCUGGCUCAUUUACUUCAAAGCAACCUGAAAAUUUAGUGCUCUCCCUGUGUGGCUGCCCUUUGUUUCUUGAGUUGUGUCCAAGAGAGUUUGAGAGUUGAGUGUUAGUCCCAGAGUGUCCUGAAUCUCUCUCUCUGCAUGUCCGAAUAUGAAUGCCCAAACUCUACCAACUACCCUCUCUCUCCUUUGUCCUAACUUUUAAAGGGCCAGACUCUCUGCACAUCAUUAGUUGAUAAAGCCAAUAGGAAACUGUAGGUGGGUUCAAUCUGUGGAUCGCAAUUUAGGUAUUUGAUCCAUAGAGGGCAGUCUCGCCUUACUAAACCUUCCUAUCCAGGAAAGAGUUAACUUUUCCUGAUGACAAUUUUGGCUUAUCUAAAAUGACUACCAUUACGUAGAUUUGCUGUCAGUUCAAAGCGUUUAUCUCAGUCUUUGUGGCAACUACUUUGAUCGUAAUUUGUAAAAUUGACAGUUCUAAACUCAAUUUCACCCCUUACUUACAAU